Non-coding RNA from Paramisgurnus dabryanus, 1468 nucleotides. The record is from RefSeq and is a predicted model, not a curated record. NCBI's taxonomy places the organism in Eukaryota, Metazoa, Chordata, Actinopteri, Cypriniformes, Cobitidae.
CUAUCUCACACAGCUCCUUGCUUGUCGACUCACUCUCCUUUCCCUGUUCUCUCUUUCUCCACAGAUGACUGCUGGGACAUAAAGGCACAAUGAAUCGGUCUCCAAUGGUUCUCUCACCUCUGCGCUGACUACAGCUUUGGAUGACUGCUGGGACAUAAAGGCACAAUGAAUCGGUCUCCAAUGGUUCUCUCACCUCUGCGCUGACUACAGCUUUGGGUGACUGCUGGAACACAAGGCACAAUGAAUCGAUUCUCCAAUGGUUCUCUCACCUCUGCGCUGACUACAGCUUUGGAUGACUGCUGGGACAUAAAGGCACAAUGAAUCGGUCUCCAAUGGUUCUCUCACCUCUGCGCUGACUACAGCUUUGGGUAGGUAUGGCUCUCUUCACAGUUCGGUAUCUCAGUGCUCACGCUGGCUCUUUCUCUCUCUCUCCACAGAUGACUGCUGGGACAUAAAGGCACAAUGAAUCGGUCUCCAAUGGUUCUCUCACCUCUGCGCUGACUACAGCUUUGGGUAGGUAUGACUCUCUGCACAGUUCCGUAUCUCAGUGCUCACGCUGGCUCUUUCUCUCUCUCUCCACAGAUGACUGCUGGGACAUAAAGGCACAAUGAAUCGGUCUCCAAUGGUUCUCUCACCUCUGCGCUGACUACAGCUUUGGGUAGGUAUGACUCUCUGCACAGUUCCGUAUCUCAGUGCUCACGCUGGCUCUUUCUCUCUCUCUCUCCACAGGUGACUGCUGGAACACAAGGCACAAUGAAUCGAUUCUCCAAUGGUUCUCUCACCUCUGCGCUGACUACAGCUUUGGGUAGGUAUGGCUCUCUGCACAGUUCAGUAUCUCAGUGCUCACGCUGGCUCUUUCUCUCUCUCUCCACAGAUGACUGCUGGGACACAAAGGCACAAUGAAUCGGUCUCCAAUGGUUCUCUCACCUCUGCGCUGACUACAGCUUUGGGUAGGUAUGGCUCUCUUCACAGUUCGGUAUCUCAGUGCUCACGCUGGCUCUUUCUCUCUCUCUCCACAGAUGACUGCUGGCUACCGCUUCGAGGUAGGGAUGGCUCUCUGCACAGCUCUCACAACACACUCCUCGUCCCUGUUGAUUUGGCAGUUUUAACAGGUCAUGUAUUAUUUUAACAGAGUGGCGGACUUACGGUAACUGGCUGCGCGAUGCGUCAGCUAGACAGUGUUUUCCUAUGUGACGCCGGGGGCCAAAACCCUCACGGCAGGCUCGUUGGUCUACAGAGGGGCGAGGGCGUCACGCCGGCACACCGGGUCGAGCGCUGCCCUUUCCUCGAGACCCGUUGGUCGAUCGAAAACUGGACCGGGGCGCCCUUUCGUCGAGACCUCGGGCCGGCGGAUCUCCUUCGCCUCCAACUCUGUGAUGAUAAAAGGACACAGGUAAGGUAGCAAUAUUAUAGAUGAUACUCACACACCGUCGAUAGCACAGUUCUUCACCCCCACUCCUAAACUCAA